GGGUUGUGAGGUUAAGCGACUAAGCGUACACGGUGGAUGCCCUGGCAGUCAGAGGCGAUGAAGGACGUGCUAAUCUGCGAUAAGCGUCGGUAAGGUGAUAUGAACCGUUAUAACCGGCGAUUUCCGAAUGGGGAAACCCAGUGUGUUUCGACACACUAUCAUUAACUGAAUCCAUAGGUUAAUGAGGCGAACCGGGGGAACUGAAACAUCUAAGUACCCCGAGGAAAAGAAAUCAACCGAGAUUCCCCCAGUAGCGGCGAGCGAACGGGGAGCAGCCCAGAGUCUGAAUCAGUGUGUGUGUUAGUGGAAGCGUCUGGAAAGGCGCGCGAUACAGGGUGACAGCCCCGUACACAAAAAUGCACAUACUGUGAGCUCGAUGAGUAGGGCGGGACACGUGGUAUCCUGUCUGAAUAUGGGGGGACCAUCCUCCAAGGCUAAAUACUCCUGACUGACCGAUAGUGAACCAGUACCGUGAGGGAAAGGCGAAAAGAACCCCGGCGAGGGGAGUGAAAAAGAACCUGAAACCGUGUACGUACAAGCAGUGGGAGCACGCUUAGGCG
RNAcentral lists this ribosomal RNA (560 nucleotides) under Escherichia coli. Its description in RNAcentral is "partial 23S ribosomal RNA". It matches the Rfam family "Bacterial large subunit ribosomal RNA", at positions 1 to 591 of the family's 2925-position model. Lineage: Bacteria; Pseudomonadati; Pseudomonadota; Gammaproteobacteria; Enterobacterales; Enterobacteriaceae. The record is from RNAcentral.